UACGUAGGGGGCAAGCGUUGUCCGGAAUUACUGGGCGUAAAGCGCGCGCAGGCGGUCUUCCAAGUCAGUGGUGAAAGCCCGGAGCUCAACUCCGGAACUGCCAUUGAAACUGUUGGACUUGAGUACGAGAGGGGUGAGUGGAAUUCCCAGUGUAGAGGUGAAAUUCGUAGAUAUUGGGAAGAACACCGGUGGCGAAGGCGGCUCACUGGCUCGUAACUGACGCUCAGGCGCGACAGCGUGGGGAUCAAACAGG
RNAcentral lists this ribosomal RNA (253 nucleotides) under uncultured bacterium. RNAcentral describes it as "partial 16S ribosomal RNA". It matches the Rfam family "Bacterial small subunit ribosomal RNA", at positions 524 to 776 of the family's 1533-position model. The record is from RNAcentral.